RNAcentral lists this ribosomal RNA (253 nucleotides) under uncultured bacterium. RNAcentral describes it as "partial 16S ribosomal RNA". It matches the Rfam family "Bacterial small subunit ribosomal RNA", at positions 524 to 776 of the family's 1533-position model. The record is from RNAcentral.
UACGUAGGGUGCGAGCGUUAAUCGGAAUUACUGGGCGUAAAGCGUGCGCAGGCGGUUCGUUAUGUCGGCGGUGAAAGCCCCGGGCUUAACCUGGGAAUGGCCGUCGAAACUGGCGAACUGGAGUGUGGCAGAGGGGGGUGGAAUUCCGCGUGUAGCAGUGAAAUGCGUAGAGAUGCGGAGGAACACCGAUGGCGAAGGCAGCCCCCUGGGCUGACACUGACGCUCAGGCACGAAAGCGUGGGGAGCAAACAGG